CAUGACCGCUGACUUAGUGUUAAUGCAAAGUGCAAGUCUAUCCCUCUCUUGACCCUAACAGGCUGCAGCACAUCCGUCAGUACGGUUCAGGAACACUCUUCACUCCGCUGGUAACCCAUAGUGGCUUAUCCACUACUUCUCCGUAUGGCAGUCUACCCAUAAAGACGGACGCUGUCUCUGUACUGUCCCUUCCUAGACUUUCUGCACUUCAUCAGUAUAAGGGAGAGUUUGUAGCGGAAUACAGGGUGAGAUGAGAUCUUGAUCAUCGAUUGUCAGAUGAGUGAAGGUUGGUGUUGCUUGGUCUACAGUUUUCUGCAGGAAUUUCC
Non-coding RNA from Pelobates cultripes (western spadefoot toad), 326 nucleotides. Lineage: Eukaryota; Metazoa; Chordata; Amphibia; Anura; Pelobatidae. The record is from the annotation of a GenBank genome assembly.